AGCAGUAGCGCGGUAAUACGAAGGGGGCUAGCGUUGCUCGGAAUGACUGGGCGUAAAGGGCGCGUAGGCGGAUUGCUUUGUCGGGCGUGAAAUUCCAGGGCUCAACCUUGGGUGGUCGUUCGAGACGGGUAAUCUAGAGUUUGGCAGAGGGUCGUGGAAUUCCCAGUGUAGAGGUGAAAUUCGUAGAGAUCGGGAGGAACAUCAGUGGCGAAGGCGGCCAUCUGGGACAACACUGACGCUGAGGCACGAAAGCGUGGGGAGCAAACAGGAUUAGAUACCCCCGUAGUCCCUGUCUCUUAUACA
This 303-nucleotide ribosomal RNA is filed under the name uncultured bacterium. RNAcentral describes it as "partial 16S ribosomal RNA". It matches the Rfam family "Bacterial small subunit ribosomal RNA", at positions 510 to 808 of the family's 1533-position model. The record is from RNAcentral.